AGAGUUUGAUCCUGGCUCAGGACGAACGCUGGCGGCGUGCUUAACACAUGCAAGUCGAACGGUAAGGCCCUUCGGGGUACACGAGUGGCGAACGGGUGAGUAACACGUGGGUAAUCUGCCCUGCACAUCGGGAUAAGCCUGGGAAACUGGGUCUAAUACCGAAUAGGACCACAGGACACAUGUCCUGUGGUGGAAAGCUUUUGCGGUGUGGGAUGGGCCCGCGGCCUAUCAGCUUGUUGGUGGGGUGAUGGCCUACCAAGGCGACGACGGGUAGCCGGCCUGAGAGGGUGUCCGGCCACACUGGGACUGAGAUACGGCCCAGACUCCUACGGGAGGCAGCAGUGGGGAAUAUUGCACAAUGGGCGAAAGCCUGAUGCAGCGACGCCGCGUGGGGGAUGACGGCCUUCGGGUUGUAAACCUCUUUCACCAUCGACGAAGGUCCGGGUUUUCUCGGGCUGACGGUAGGUGGAGAAGAAGCACCGGCCAACUACGUGCCAGCAGCCGCGGUAAUACGUAGGGUACGAGCGUUGUCCGGAAUUACUGGGCGUAAAGAGCUCGUAGGUGGUUUGUCGCGUUGUUCGUGAAAUCUCACGGCUUAACUGUGAGCGUGCGGGCGAUACGGGCAGACUUGAGUACUGCAGGGGAGACUGGAAUUCCUGGUGUAGCGGUGAAAUGCGUAGA
RNAcentral lists this ribosomal RNA (681 nucleotides) under uncultured bacterium. RNAcentral's name for it is "bacterial SSU rRNA". It matches the Rfam family "Bacterial small subunit ribosomal RNA", at positions 8 to 694 of the family's 1533-position model. The record is from RNAcentral.